GAGGGCUUCCAGUCACAAGGAUUGUUAGCCGCAUCCCCCUGCAGGAUAUUCUUGCUCAUGUGGUUGGCGAUGUUCCUAUAAUGAGCAAUCACCAUGUACUCGAUUUUACAGACGCUGGCAACAAGGUGAAUGAACAGUAUCGUUGAUAUUGUUGAUUAAAGGAGGCCCCCCUCUCCCCACACACACAUAAUCUCGACUUUCGCCUGUAGUCAACAGUUACAAAGUGCAAAUUUUGAUUUAUUUUGCAGGUUCAUCCAUAAGGUUCAUGGAGAUCAUCUGAUGGAUAUUCUCAUAGCUCUGGAAAUGGACAUCAUCGAUCCCAUCCAUAAGGUCUCUAACCCUCCCACCAGAAAAUGACUAGCCCAACCGCAUCACUUGGGAUUGCGUGAACCUUUGAAUUGCCCCUACCUCUAAUUCUUUGACCCUUCUGACAGUGUUAGGUAAUCUUGGGGCGAGCAGCAGAUGUCGUGGAUGGCCGCGACAGAGUACUUGGUAGAUUAGAUGUGGUGGGAAUUGAGUGAGGGUGUGGCAGAUCAAUGCGGAGGGUAGGGAGAUAGAUUAACACGAGAAUCACGAUGGGGAUGGGUGGUAUCAGCUGAGAAUAGUGGUGAACAUUAUUUAUAUUGGGCAAACAUUUGUAAUACAGUAGUUUAUGGUCCUGUGGUAUCGGUUAAGGGGCUCAAAAUCUGGAAACAGACUUUUUCUGUCUUGCUAAUGUAGAUUUUUUUUUAAAUUA
Molecule: long non-coding RNA, 736 nt
Organism: Lolium rigidum
Lineage: Eukaryota; Viridiplantae; Streptophyta; Magnoliopsida; Poales; Poaceae
Exons: 5
Source: RefSeq, a predicted model, not a curated record